AGUGAACGCUGGCGGUAGGCCUAACACAUGCAAGUCGAACGGCAGCACAGUAAGAGCUUGCUCUUACGGGUGGCGAGUGGCGGACGGGUGAGGAAUACAUCGGAAUCUACUUUUUCGUGGGGGAUAACGUAGGGAAACUUACGCUAAUACCGCAUACGACCUACGGGUGAAAGCAGGGGAUCUUCGGACCUUGCGCGAUUGAAUGAGCCGAUGUCGGAUUAGCUAGUUGGCGGGGUAAAGGCCCACCAAGGCGACGAUCCGUAGCUGGUCUGAGAGGAUGAUCAGCCACACUGGAACUGAGACACGGUCCAGACUCCUACGGGAGGCAGCAGUGGGGAAUAUUGGACAGUGGGCGCAAGCCUGACCCAGCCAUACCGCGUGGGUGAAGAAGGCCUUCGGGUUGUAAAGCCCUUUUGUUGGGAAAGAAAAGCAGCAGGUUAAUACCCCGCUGUUCUGACGGUACCCAAAGAAUAAGCACCGGCUAACUUCGU
Molecule: ribosomal RNA, 491 nt
Filed under: uncultured bacterium
Lineage: Bacteria
Description: partial 16S ribosomal RNA
Rfam family: Bacterial small subunit ribosomal RNA
Source: RNAcentral